GUAUCUUUUUGUACUUUCCAGCAGCCUGCAAUCAUGCCUUUCCUUCCUGUAUUAAUUGUGAGGAUGGAAGAAGUAGCUACAUAUCAUCCUCUGUAUAUACUAUUAGAAGUAGCUACACUAUUAUCCCAUAUUGUAAUCUAUUGCAAUGUAUCUUUUUGUACUUUCCAGCAGCCUGCAAUCAUGCCCUUCCUUCCUGUAUUAAUUGUGAGGAUGGAAGAAGUAGCUACAUAUCAUCCUCAGUAUGUACUAUUAGAGGCAGGUACAUACUUUCCAUACUGUAAUCUAUCGUAAUGUAUUGUAUUGUAUUUUCCAGCAGCCUGCAAUCAUGCCCUUCCUUCCUGUCUUGAUCUUCCAACACUCAGUUCUAAGCACACAAGCACAUGUUAUCUUAUUCCACCCCUUUGUUCUUCCUCCCUUCCUCAGUAUCUAACCUUUCCUUGUUGGUUUCCAUGAAUAAGUUUUUUCCUUUUUGAGUAUGUCUUCCUAAUGUAACUAUUGGUCUAUGUUUUUGUUUGUUUGUUCUAGUACACACACACACACACACACACACAUGCAUACAGACACACACCAGAAUUGGUUUGGGAAUUCUAUUUUCUCAUCAGCUUCCUGUCUAUCCCCUGUCUGCCUGUAGCACCAGUAGGACCUCUUGGACGGCCCCAGCCCAUUAGCGGUCUUAGCCAGGUCUUUCUCUGCCUCUGUGGUGGAUAGUGGAGUGUUUCCCAUGUGGUAUUGGUGUGCUGGAUAUCCCUUCACUGGUAGCCUGGUAACAUACACUCCCAGGUCUUUCUCUGCCUCUCUGGUGGAUAGUGGAGUGUUUCCCAUGUGGUAUUGGUGUGCUGGAUAUCCCUUCACUGGUAGCCUGGUAACAUACACUCCCAGGUCUUUCUCUGUCUCUGUGGUGGAUAGUGGAGUGUUUCCCAUGUGGUAUUGGUAUGCUGGAUAUCCCUUCACUGGUAGCCUGGUCACAUACACUCCCAGGUCUUUCUCUGCCUCUGUGGUGGAUAGUGGAGUGUUUCCCAUGUGGUAUUGGUGUGCUAGAUAUCCCUUCACUGGUAGCCUGGUAACAUACACUCCCAGGUCUUUCUCUGCCUCUGUGGUGGAUAGUGGAGUGUUUCCCAUGUGGUAUUGGUGUGCUGGAUAUCCCUUCACUGGUAGCCUGGUAACACACUCCCAGGUCUUUCUCUGCCUCUGUGGUGGAUAGUGGAGUGUUUCCCAUGUGGUAUUGGUGUGCUGGAUAUCCCUUCACUGGUAGCCUGGUAACAUACACUCCCAGGUCUUUCUCUGCCUCUGUGGUGGAUAGUGGAGUGUUUCCCAUGUGGUAUUGGUGUGCUGGAUAUCCCCUCCCAAGGUGCAGGACUUAACAUUUUUCAUCAUUGCAUUGUAGCAGCCACUUUUUGUUCCACUCCCAUAGCUUUUUGAUGUCUUCUUGUAGGAAAUCCACAGUCAAGGGGUUAAAAAUAGGCCUUUCUGACAAACUAUUGCAAUUUUUAUAACACUCUUACUUCCCUUAUAAGAUUACAUUAUGUUGUUUGUCUGGUGGAGAACAGUUUUGAUUCUUCGCGGAGACAAACAAAGGAAAACAAUUCAAAGUGUUUUUAUUCCUCUUAAUAAUGAACAAAUACUUGACUUCUGGGCUGCCAACAGAGUAAUGGAUUGUUUCAUCUUUAGGGCGAACAAAGAAAUUAGCGCCUGAAUGUUCAAACGCUGUAUUAGCCUUCGUCAAGAACACUGUGGCUGACUUGUCUUUGCUGGUUUGUUAAUGUGUUGACUUCACUCUGAAAAUCCAGGACUUCUAGCUAACAACUCCAUCUCAAAAUUAGAAGCAAAGUCACACCAGCCACAGAGCUUGAUACUACUACCAUGCUUGAAAAACCCGGCGUACAUGACUAAACGAUAUAUGUAUGUACCUCCUUGAGACGACAAGUAAUAUAUGGAGCCGAAAAGAACCUCCUCGUAACCGACUCUACGUAACCGUUUAUCCCGAGCCUGUGUUGUCGUUCCGAGUCGGAAGAACUUAAAAUAUAUUGUCAUUACGAACUCUCUCUUUCAUAACACAAGUCCUACAGCAAUACUUCCUCUCCACAACACAAGUCCUACAGCAAUACUUCCUCUCAGCAACACAAGUCCUACAGCAAUACUUCCUCUCCACAACACAAGUCCUACAGCAAUACUUCCUCUCCACAACACAAGUCCUACAGCAAUACUUCCUCUCCACAACACAAGUCCUACAGCAAUACUUCCUCUCCACAACACAAGUCCUACAGCAAUACUUCCUCUCCACAACACAAGUCCUACAGCAAUACUUCCUCUCCACAACACAAGUCCUACAGCAAUACUUCCUCUCCACAACACAAGUCCUACAGCAAUACUUCCUCUCCACAACACAAGUCCUACAGCAAUACUUCCUCUCCACAACACAAGUCCUACAGCAAUACUUCCUCUCCACAACACAAGUCCUACAGCAAUACUUCCUCUCCACAACACAAGUCCUACAGCAAUACUUCCUCUCCACAACACAAGUCCUAUAGCAAUACUUCCUCUCCACAACACAAGUCCUACAGCAAUACUUCCU
This is a long non-coding RNA of Eriocheir sinensis (Chinese mitten crab), 2572 nucleotides long. RefSeq lists it as uncharacterized. The transcript has 2 exons. The record is from RefSeq and is a predicted model, not a curated record. Lineage: Eukaryota; Metazoa; Arthropoda; Malacostraca; Decapoda; Varunidae.